RNAcentral lists this non-coding RNA (25 nucleotides) under Drosophila erecta. The record is from RNAcentral. Lineage: Eukaryota; Metazoa; Arthropoda; Insecta; Diptera; Drosophilidae. RNAcentral also lists the same sequence under 1 other name.
UAUGUAUACUCUGCUUGGUGAUCGC